GGGAGCUUUGGGGACGCACUUGUGGAUGCCUAGGCCUCUUCCGUUUGCCUCUGGGACUGGCGAUACUCGAGAUGUCUUGAGGCCUUCCAGACCUUGCUCCACCUCCACCACCAGGUCUCCAGUCCUGAGCCACAUGCUGCCAUUUUUGUCUCAGAAGCACCCCUCUUCCAGGUGGAAGAUUGAAGGUCUGAAGAGUGGGAAGACCCAGGAACAGGCAAGUCCAGGAAGAUAUGAGGAAAAUCAAGAAAGAGAAGGAAACUGAAGCUAGUGGGAAGUGCUUCAAGUUGGAGAUGAUGCUGAGAUGGCCAAAAAGUGAGAGGUGGAAAACAUUUGGAGUGAGUUAAGGAGAGAACGCGAGGCAAGGAAGUGAAGCCGAGUGAGUUGGGAGUGGGGUGCAGGGGCCUUUGGCCACCCCAGGCUCUUUCUAUGUGAACAUUCUGAGACUGAUUCUGAUUUUUUUCCCCUCCCAAAUUGCUCUCUUUUCCUUUCUUCACCUACUUACUCCCUGGUCAUCCUUCCUUUGGGUCAGUGAAGUUGCUGGUUCUUUAGGGAACACUUCUCUGAUUGCUGAAGCUAAUAGUCUCUCCCUGCAGUUGCCGGUUGUUUCCAAUAGUUGACUAGUUUUC
This 626-nucleotide long non-coding RNA is filed under the name Pan troglodytes (chimpanzee). Its description in RNAcentral is "long non-coding RNA NONPTRT014900". Lineage: Eukaryota; Metazoa; Chordata; Mammalia; Primates; Hominidae. The record is from RNAcentral.